RNAcentral lists this ribosomal RNA (752 nucleotides) under uncultured Glomus. RNAcentral describes it as "SSU rRNA". It matches the Rfam family "Eukaryotic small subunit ribosomal RNA", at positions 338 to 1092 of the family's 1831-position model. The record is from RNAcentral. Lineage: Eukaryota; Fungi; Glomeromycota; Glomeromycetes; Glomerales; Glomeraceae.
GGCCUACCAUGGUGGUAACGGGUAACGGGGUGUUAGGGCACGACACCGGAGAGGGAGCCUGAGAAACGGCUACCACAUCCAAGGAUGGCAGCAGGCGCGCAAAUUACCCAAUCCCGACACGGGGAGGUAGUGACAAUAAAUAACAAUACGGGGUUCUUUCGGAUCUCGUAAUUGGAAUGAGUACAAUUUAAAUCUCUUAACGAGGAACAAUUGGAGGGCAAGUCUGGUGCCAGCAGCCGCGGUAAUUCCAGCUCCAAUAGCGUAUAUUAAAGUUGUUGCAGUUAAAAAGCUCGUAGUUGAAUUUCGGGAUCAAUUUAUUGGUCGUGCUAUUGUACGUACUGGUAUUAUUGAUUCCUACCUUCUGACGAACCAUGAUGUCCUUAAUUUGGUGUCAUGGGGAAUCAGGACUGUUACUUUGAAAAAAUUAGAGUGUUUAAAGCAGGCUCACGCUUGAAUACAUUAGCAUGGAAUAACGAAAUAGGACGUUUGAUUCUAUUUUGUUGGUUUCUAGGAUCGACGUAAUGAUUAAUAGGGAUAGUUGGGGGCAUUAGUAUUCAAUUGUCAGAGGUGAAAUUCUUGGAUUUAUUGAAGACUAACUACUGCGAAAGCAUUUGCCAAGGAUGUUUUCAUUAAUCAAGAACGAAAGUUAGGGGAUCGAAGACGAUCAGAUACCGUCGUAGUCUUAACCAUAAACUAUGCCGACUGGGGAUCGGAUGAUGUUAAUUUUUUAAUGACUCAUUCGGCGCCUUACG